GUUUCAGGGUGACCGGAUUUAUAAGCUUUGGGCAUAUAAACUUGCCGCCUUUAGAGCCUUGCUCCAAAGAAUGAUAACACACUGCACUACAUACACAAAUGCCUAUGAAGAAUUACAUUGGAUUAUAAGACACGCUGUAUGCCAUGGUUAUCAAGAGGGUUUGAUUUUGAAUAUGUGGGCAAAGAUCUCACAAAAGUAUAACCGAAACUUAAGUGGAGAUACGGAGCAAUCAGAGGCAAAUGAUCAUCGUGAGAAGAAGUUUUUUAAUGUCAGUAUAAAUCCGGUCACCUUGAAGUGCAGAAGGAGGGUGGAGAGGGCCGCUG
RNAcentral lists this long non-coding RNA (323 nucleotides) under Androctonus crassicauda. The record is from RNAcentral. Lineage: Eukaryota; Metazoa; Arthropoda; Arachnida; Scorpiones; Buthidae.